UACGUAGGGCGCAAGCGUUGUCCGGAAUUAUUGGGCGUAAAGAGCUCGUAGGCGGUUUGUCGCGUCUGUCGUGAAAGCUUGGGGCUUAACCCCAAGUCUGCGGUGGAUACGGGCAGACUAGAGGCAGGUAGGGGAGAACGGAAUUCCCGGUGUAGCGGUGAAAUGCGCAGAUAUCGGGAGGAACACCGGUGGCGAAGGCGGAUCUCUGGGCCGAUACUGACGCUGAGGAGCGAAAGCGUGGGGAGCGAACAGG
This 253-nucleotide ribosomal RNA is filed under the name uncultured bacterium. Its description in RNAcentral is "partial 16S ribosomal RNA". It matches the Rfam family "Bacterial small subunit ribosomal RNA", at positions 524 to 776 of the family's 1533-position model. The record is from RNAcentral.